GUGGUGUCCAUGGUGAACACAUUUGGCUGCUAAUCAAAAGGUUGGUGGUUCGAGUCCUCCC
RNAcentral lists this transfer RNA (61 nucleotides) under Loxodonta africana (African savanna elephant). It matches the Rfam family "tRNA", at positions 7 to 64 of the family's 71-position model. Rfam says of the family: Transfer RNA (tRNA) molecules are approximately 80 nucleotides in length. Their secondary structure includes four short double-helical elements and three loops (D, anti-codon, and T loops). Further hydrogen bonds mediate the characteristic L-shaped molecular structure. tRNAs have two regions of fundamental functional importance: the anti-codon, which is responsible for specific mRNA codon recognition, and the 3' end, to which the tRNAs corresponding amino acid is attached (by aminoacyl-tRNA synthetases). tRNAs cope with the degeneracy of the genetic code in two manners: having more than one tRNA (with a specific anti-codon) for a particular amino acid; and 'wobble' base-pairing, i.e. permitting non-standard base-pairing at the 3rd anti-codon position. Lineage: Eukaryota; Metazoa; Chordata; Mammalia; Proboscidea; Elephantidae. The record is from Rfam by way of RNAcentral.